RNAcentral lists this ribosomal RNA (495 nucleotides) under uncultured bacterium. Its description in RNAcentral is "bacterial SSU rRNA". It matches the Rfam family "Bacterial small subunit ribosomal RNA", at positions 8 to 518 of the family's 1533-position model. The record is from RNAcentral.
AGAGUUUGAUCCUGGCUCAGGACAACGCUGGCGGCAUGCCUAACACAUGCAAGUCGAACGGAGUAAUGACUUCGGUAUUACUUAGUGGCGAACGGGUGAGUAACACGUGAAUAAUCUGCCCUGUACGAUGGGAUAACAGCUGGAAACGGCUGCUAAUACCGUAUAUGACCACGCCGAGGCAUCUCGGAGGGGUGAAAGCGCUUAAGCGGUACAGGAUGAGUUCGCGUCCAAUUAGCUAGUUGGUGAGGUAACGGCCCCACCAAGGCGACGAUUGGUAGCCGACCUGAGAGGGUGAUCGGCCACACUGGAACUGAGACACGGUCCAGACUCCUACGGGAGGCAGCAGUGGGGAAUAUUGGGCAAUGGGGGAAACUCCUUACCCAGCAAUGCCGCGUGAGUGAUGAAGGUCUUCGGAUUGUAAAGCUCUUUGAUUGGGGACGAAUAAAUGACGGUACCCAAGGAACAAGCCCCGGCUAACUAUGUGCCAGCCGCGGC